RNAcentral lists this ribosomal RNA (253 nucleotides) under uncultured bacterium. RNAcentral describes it as "partial 16S ribosomal RNA". It matches the Rfam family "Bacterial small subunit ribosomal RNA", at positions 524 to 776 of the family's 1533-position model. The record is from RNAcentral.
GACGAACCAAGCGAACGUUGUUCGGAUUCACUGGGCUUAAAGGGCGCGUAGGCGGUCUGUCAAGUCCGGGGUGAAAUCUUUCGGCUCAACCGGAAAAUUGCCUCGGAUACUGGCAGGCUCGAAGGGGGUAGGGGUUGCGGGAACAGCCAGUGGAGCGGUGAAAUGCGUUGAUAUUGGCUGGAACGCCGGUGCCGAAAGGGCGCAACUGGACCUCUCUUGACGCUGAGGCGCGAAAGCCAGGGUAGCGAACGGG